AUUUAGGGUCAUUUCAUGAGAGUUUGGGGUCAGAUGCUGAGAUUUGGGGUCAGAUGCUGAGAUUUGGGGCCGAUUGGGCUGAAUUUGGGGUCAGGUGCUGAGAUUUGGGGUCAUUUCGUGAGAGUUUGGGGUCAGAUGCUGAGAUUUGGGAUCAGUUCAUGAGAGUUUGGGGUCAGAUGCUGAGAUUUGGGGUCAGAUGCUGAGAUUUGGGGCCGAUUGGGCUGAAUUUGGGGUCAGGUGCUGAGAUUUGGGGUCAUUUCAUGAGAGUUUGGGGUCAGAUCCAGAGAUUUGGGGGUCACUAUGUGAGAGUUUGGG
RNAcentral lists this long non-coding RNA (315 nucleotides) under Gallus gallus (chicken). The record is from RNAcentral. Lineage: Eukaryota; Metazoa; Chordata; Aves; Galliformes; Phasianidae.